RNAcentral lists this ribosomal RNA (1072 nucleotides) under Cordyceps takaomontana. Its description in RNAcentral is "SSU rRNA". It matches the Rfam family "Eukaryotic small subunit ribosomal RNA", at positions 39 to 1123 of the family's 1831-position model. Lineage: Eukaryota; Fungi; Ascomycota; Sordariomycetes; Hypocreales; Cordycipitaceae. The record is from RNAcentral.
AAAGAUUAAGCCAUGCAUGUCUAAGUAUAAGCAAUUAUACAGCGAAACUGCGAAUGGCUCAUUAUAUAAGUUAUCGUUUAUUUGAUAGUACCUUACUACUUGGAUAACCGUGGUAAUUCUAGAGCUAAUACAUGCUAAAAAUCCCGACUUCGGAAGGGAUGUAUUUAUUAGAUUAAAAACCAAUGCCCUCUGGGCUCCUUGGUGAUUCAUGAUAACUCUUCGAAUCGCACGGCCUUGCGCCGGCGAUGGUUCAUUCAAAUUUCUUCCCUAUCAACUUUCGAUGUUUGGGUAUUGGCCAAACAUGGUUGCAACGGGUAACGGAGGGUUAGGGCUCGACCCCGGAGAAGGAGCCUGAGAAACGGCUACUACAUCCAAGGAAGGCAGCAGGCGCGCAAAUUACCCAAUCCCGAUUCGGGGAGGUAGUGACAAUAAAUACUGAUACAGGGCUCUUUUGGGUCUUGUAAUUGGAAUGAGUACAAUUUAAAUCUCUUAACGAGGAACAAUUGGAGGGCAAGUCUGGUGCCAGCAGCCGCGGUAAUUCCAGCUCCAAUAGCGUAUAUUAAAGUUGUUGUGGUUAAAAAGCUCGUAGUUGAACCUUGGGCCUGGCUGGCCGGUCCGCCUCACCGCGUGCACUGGUCCGGCCGGGCCUUUCCCUCUGUGGAACCCCAUGCCCUUCACUGGGCGUGGCGGGGAAACAGGACGUUUACUUUGAAAAAAUUAGAGUGCUUCAGGCAGGCCUAUGCUCGAAUACAUUAGCAUGGAAUAAUGAAAUAGGACGCGUGGUUCUAUUUUGUUGGUUUCUAGGACCGCCGUAAUGAUUAAUAGGGACAGUCGGGGGCAUCAGUAUUCAAUUGUCAGAGGUGAAAUUCUUGGAUUUAUUGAAGACUAACUACUGCGAAAGCAUUUGCCAAGGAUGUUUUCAUUAAUCAGGAACGAAAGUUAGGGGAUCGAAGACGAUCAGAUACCGUCGUAGUCUUAACCAUAAACUAUGCCGACUAGGGAUCGGACGAUGUUAUUUUUUGACGCGUUCGGCACCUUACGAGAAAUCAAAGUGCUUGGGCUCCAGGGGGAG